AACCAUAGAAACCUGCGGAGUACCUGCGGAAGGAUCAUUACAGGACUCGCAAGACUCCUUAAACCCCUGUGAACUUACUGUUUAUACGUUGCUUCGGCGGGUGCUCCGGGGUCCGCCCCGGGGCGCUGCGCCCGCCGGCAGCCUACUUAAUUCUGUUUCUCUGCGUUGGCAUCUCGAGUAAGCAAAAUAAGUUAAAACUUUCAACAAUGGAUCU
This 214-nucleotide unclassified non-coding RNA is filed under the name soil metagenome. RNAcentral describes it as "partial contains 5.8S ribosomal RNA, internal transcribed spacer 2, and large subunit ribosomal RNA". The record is from RNAcentral.